Molecule: transfer RNA, 68 nt
Filed under: Vibrio parahaemolyticus
Lineage: Bacteria; Pseudomonadati; Pseudomonadota; Gammaproteobacteria; Vibrionales; Vibrionaceae
Description: tRNA-Val
Rfam family: tRNA
About the family: Transfer RNA (tRNA) molecules are approximately 80 nucleotides in length.
Source: RNAcentral
GCGAUUAGCUCAGUUGGGAGAGCACCUGCCUUACAAGCAGGGGGUCACUGGUUCGAGCCCGGUAUCGC